Molecule: transfer RNA, 77 nt
Filed under: Methylophaga frappieri
Lineage: Bacteria; Pseudomonadati; Pseudomonadota; Gammaproteobacteria; Thiotrichales; Piscirickettsiaceae
Also listed under: 4 other names
Description: tRNA-Arg (CCG) (tRNA-Arg-CCG-1-1)
Rfam family: tRNA
About the family: Transfer RNA (tRNA) molecules are approximately 80 nucleotides in length. Their secondary structure includes four short double-helical elements and three loops (D, anti-codon, and T loops).
Source: RNAcentral
GCGCCCGUAGCUCAGCUGGAUAGAGUAUCGGUUUCCGAAGCCGAGGGUCACAGGUUCAAGUCCUGUCGGGCGCGCCA